GACGAACGCUGGCGGCGUGCUUAACACAUGCAAGUCGAACGCUGAAGCCCAGCUUGCUGGGUGGAUGAGUGGCGAACGGGUGAGUAACACGUGAGUAACCUGCCCCCUUCUUUGGGAUAACGCCCGGAAACGGGUGCUAAUACUGGAUAUUCACUGGCCUUCGCAUGGGGGUUGGUGGAAAGGUUUUUUCUGGUGGGGGAUGGGCUCGCGGCCUAUCAGCUUGUUGGUGGGGUGAUGGCCUACCAAGGCUUUGACGGGUAGCCGGCCUGAGAGGGUGACCGGUCACAUUGGGACUGAGAUACGGCCCACACUCCUACGGGAGGCAGCAUUGGGGAAUAUUGCACAAUGGGCGAAAGCCUGAUGCAAGCGACGCCGCGUGAGGGAUGACGGCCUUCGGGUUGUAAACCUCUUUCUCUCAUGGUUAACCCUCAGCUUUUUGUUGUGG
This 445-nucleotide ribosomal RNA is filed under the name uncultured Actinomyces sp. RNAcentral's name for it is "bacterial SSU rRNA". It matches the Rfam family "Bacterial small subunit ribosomal RNA", at positions 28 to 469 of the family's 1533-position model. Lineage: Bacteria; Bacillati; Actinomycetota; Actinomycetes; Actinomycetales; Actinomycetaceae. The record is from RNAcentral.